CGUUUUAUACUAGGAAGAAACCGACUACUACGUGUAGAGUUCUGACGGUACUGUAAGAAUAAGGAUCGGCUAACUCCGUGCCAGCAGCCGCGGUAAUACGGAGGAUCCAAGCGUUAUCCGGAAUCAUUGGGUUUAAAGGGUCCGUAGGUGGACAAUUAAGUCAGAGGUGAAAGUCUGCAGCUCAACUGUAGAAUUGCCUUUGAUACUGGUUGUCUUGAAUUAUUGUGAAGUAGUUAGAAUAUGGUAGUGUAGCGGUGAAAUGCAAUAGAUAUUACAUAGAAUACCAAUUGCGAAGGCAGAUUACUAACAAUAUAUUGACACUGAUGGACGAAAGCGUGGGGAGCGAACAGGAUUAGAUACCCUGGUAG
Molecule: ribosomal RNA, 368 nt
Filed under: uncultured bacterium
Lineage: Bacteria
Description: bacterial SSU rRNA
Rfam family: Bacterial small subunit ribosomal RNA
Source: RNAcentral